CCUUCCGGUUGCAGCCUGAGUAAUUAGGCUGAUGGCUGGUGACUUUUUAGUCACCAGCCU
This 60-nucleotide small RNA is filed under the name insect gut metagenome. RNAcentral's name for it is "Pseudomonas sRNA P26". It matches the Rfam family "Pseudomonas sRNA P26". Rfam says of the family: P26 is conserved across many Gammaproteobacteria species and appears to be consistently located between the DNA directed RNA polymerase (beta subunit) and 50S ribosomal protein L7/L12 genes. The record is from RNAcentral.